GACGAACGCUGGCGGCGUGCCUAAUACAUGCAAGUCGAGCGAACCAAUAAGAAGCUUGCUUUUUGUUGGUUAGCGGCGGACGGGUGAGUAACACGUGGGUAACCUGCCUGUAAGACCGGGAUAACUCCGGGAAACCGGUGCUAAUACCGGAUAGAUUAUCUUUCCGCAUGGAGAGAUAAGGAAAGAUGGCUAUUGCCAUCACUUACAGAUGGGCCCGCGGCGCAUUAGCUCGUUGGUGAGGUAACGGCUCACCAAGGCGACGAUGCGUAGCCGACCUGAGAGGGUGAUCGGCCACACUGGGACUGAGACACGGCCCAGACUCCUACGGGAGGCAGCAGUAGGGAAUCUUCCGCAAUGGACGAAAGUCUGACGGAGCAACGCCGCGUGAGCGAAGAAGGUCUUCGGAUCGUAAAGCUCUGUUGUUAGGAAAGAACAAGUAUCGGAGGAAAUGCCGGUACCUUGACGGUACCUGACGAGAAAGCCACGGCUAACUACGUG
This 498-nucleotide ribosomal RNA is filed under the name uncultured bacterium. Its description in RNAcentral is "partial 16S ribosomal RNA". It matches the Rfam family "Bacterial small subunit ribosomal RNA", at positions 28 to 507 of the family's 1533-position model. The record is from RNAcentral.